CAGGAUGCCCAGGAGAAGCUAGAAUUGGACAGGAUGUACGUGGAAGACAUGAAGCAAUACCUGGUUGGUGCAGCUCUCUAUCUAAAGACCUGUACUUAGUCAUUACUUUGAAGGAACCAAGAGAACAAGUAGCAAAUCUGAACUGAAUGAAAAGACUUCUUGCUGCUUUAUUUAAAGUCGUGCAAUGGAAUAUUUGCAGGAGAGCUUUUGCUACCUCUGGAUAAUCCUGUUCCAGAAGAACUGUUAUCUGAGAUCCCAGGAAGGUUCCUGAAAGGUCUAUUAAUGAAGACAACAGAAACAAAACAAAAAGGGUGCAGACACAAACACGAUCAGAGAGAAUGUUGCCAUUCUGUCUGAACAUGGCCAAUUCCCUUAACGGCACAGAAGAUUCAAAUCGUAGGGUGGGCACAUAUUGUGUGACAUUUCAACAUCAAAUUAACCAUCCUACCAGUAGCAUCAUUUAAGGCAGUGUUAGCAAAAAUGCUGCCAGCCCACAAGGGGAUGUGCAUCUUCCCUCUUCAAACAAUGCAAGUAACUCUUCAUAAGGGUGAUCAGUCAACGCCACGUGAACUAAUUUGAUAGUUCCGUCAUCAGAUGCAUUGCAAAUUUCAUUACAUAUUUUAAAUCAUGUUAACAUGGUUUGUUAAUGUUGGUAUUCACUAAAAAGCCACAGCACUUUAAAUAAUGAAUGGG
Molecule: long non-coding RNA, 693 nt
Filed under: Pan troglodytes (chimpanzee)
Lineage: Eukaryota; Metazoa; Chordata; Mammalia; Primates; Hominidae
Description: long non-coding RNA NONPTRT006399
Source: RNAcentral